RNAcentral lists this ribosomal RNA (2593 nucleotides) under Salmonella enterica subsp. enterica serovar Enteritidis. Its description in RNAcentral is "bacterial LSU rRNA". It matches the Rfam family "Bacterial large subunit ribosomal RNA", at positions 366 to 2925 of the family's 2925-position model. Lineage: Bacteria; Pseudomonadati; Pseudomonadota; Gammaproteobacteria; Enterobacterales; Enterobacteriaceae. The record is from RNAcentral.
GACAGCCCCGUACACAAAAGCGCAUGUGCUGUGAGCUCGAUGAGUAGGGCGGGACACGUGGUAUCCUGUCUGAAUAUGGGGGGACCAUCCUCCAAGGCUAAAUACUCCUGACUGACCGAUAGUGAACCAGUACCGUGAGGGAAAGGCGAAAAGAACCCCGGCGAGGGGAGUGAAAAAGAACCUGAAACCGUGUACGUACAAGCAGUGGGAGCACAGGUUUACCUGUGUGACUGCGUACCUUUUGUAUAAUGGGUCAGCGACUUAUAUUCUGUAGCAAGGUUAACCGAAUAGGGGAGCCGGAGGGAAACCGAGUCUUAAUUGGGCGUUAAGUUGCAGGGUAUAGACCCGAAACCCGGUGAUCUAGCCAUGGGCAGGUUGAAGGUUGGGUAACACUAACUGGAGGACCGAACCGACUAAUGUUGAAAAAUUAGCGGAUGACCUGUGGCUGGGGGUGAAAGGCCAAUCAAACCGGGAGAUAGCUGGUUCUCCCCGAAAGCUAUUUAGGUAGCGCCUCGUGAAUUCAUCUCCGGGGGUAGAGCACUGUUUCGGCUAGGGGGCCAUCCCGGCUUACCAACCCGAUGCAAACUGCGAAUACCGGAGAAUGUUAUCACGGGAGACACACGGCGGGUGCUAACGUCCGUCGUGAAGAGGGAAACAACCCAGACCGCCAGCUAAGGUCCCAAAGUCAUGGUUAAGUGGGAAACGAUGUGGGAAGGCCCAGACAGCCAGGAUGUUGGCUUAGAAGCAGCCAUCAUUUAAAGAAAGCGUAAUAGCUCACUGGUCGAGUCGGCCUGCGCGGAAGAUGUAACGGGGCUAAACCAUGCACCGAAGCUGCGGCAGCGACNCUUNUGNGUUGUUGGGUAGGGGAGCGUUCUGUAAGCCUGNGAAGGUGNGNCNGUGAGGNNUGCUGGAGGUAUCAGAAGUGCGAAUGCUGACAUAAGUAACGAUAAAGCGGGUGAAAAGCCCGCUCGCCGGAAGACCAAGGGUUCCUGUCCAACGUUAAUCGGGGCAGGGUGAGUCGACCCCUAAGGCGAGGCCGAAAGGCGUAGUCGAUGGGAAACGGGUUAAUAUUCCCGUACUUGGUGUUACUGCGAAGGGGGGACGGAGAAGGCUAUGUUGGCCGGGCGACGGUUGUCCCGGUUUAAGCGUGUAGGUGUGUGUUCCAGGUAAAUCCGGUUCACUUUAACACUGAGGCGUGACGACGAGGCACUACGGUGCUGAAGCAACAAAUGCCCUGCUUCCAGGAAAAGCCUCUAAGCAUCAGGUAACAUCAAAUCGUACCCCAAACCGACACAGGUGGUCAGGUAGAGAAUACCAAGGCGCUUGAGAGAACUCGGGUGAAGGAACUAGGCAAAAUGGUGCCGUAACUUCGGGAGAAGGCACGCUGACACGUAGGUGAAGUGAUUUACUCAUGGAGCUGAAGUCAGUCGAAGAUACCAGCUGGCUGCAACUGUUUAUUAAAAACACAGCACUGUGCAAACACGAAAGUGGACGUAUACGGUGUGACGCCUGCCCGGUGCCGGAAGGUUAAUUGAUGGGGUCAGCGCAAGCGAAGCUCCUGAUCGAAGCCCCGGUAAACGGCGGCCGUAACUAUAACGGUCCUAAGGUAGCGAAAUUCCUUGUCGGGUAAGUUCCGACCUGCACGAAUGGCGUAAUGAUGGCCAGGCUGUCUCCACCCGAGACUCAGUGAAAUUGAACUCGCUGUGAAGAUGCAGUGUACCCGCGGCAAGACGGAAAGACCCCGUGAACCUUUACUAUAGCUUGACACUGAACAUUGAGCCUUGAUGUGUAGGAUAGGUGGGAGGCUUUGAAGUGUGGACGCCAGUCUGCAUGGAGCCGACCUUGAAAUACCACCCUUUAAUGUUUGAUGUUCUAACGUGGACCCGUUACCCGGGUUGCGGACAGUGUCUGGUGGGUAGUUUGACUGGGGCGGUCUCCUCCUAAAGAGUAACGGAGGAGCACGAAGGUUGGCUAAUCCUGGUCGGACAUCAGGAGGUUAGUGCAAUGGCAUAAGCCAGCUUGACUGCGAGCGUGACGGCGCGAGCAGGUGCGAAAGCAGGUCAUAGUGAUCCGGUGGUUCUGAAUGGAAGGGCCAUCGCUCAACGGAUAAAAGGUACUCCGGGGAUAACAGGCUGAUACCGCCCAAGAGUUCAUAUCGACGGCGGUGUUUGGCACCUCGAUGUCGGCUCAUCACAUCCUGGGGCUGAAGUAGGUCCCAAGGGUAUGGCUGUUCGCCAUUUAAAGUGGUACGCGAGCUGGGUUUAGAACGUCGUGAGACAGUUCGGUCCCUAUCUGCCGUGGGCGCUGGAGAACUGAGGGGGGCUGCUCCUAGUACGAGAGGACCGGAGUGGACGCAUCACUGGUGUUCGGGUUGUCAUGCCAAUGGCACUGCCCGGUAGCUAAAUGCGGAAGAGAUAAGUGCUGAAAGCAUCUAAGCACGAAACUUGCCCCGAGAUGAGUUCUCCCUGAGACUUAGAGUCUCCUGAAGGAACGUUGAAGACGACGACGUUGAUAGGCCGGGUGUGUAAGCGCAGCGAUGCGUUGAGCUAACCGGUACUAAUGAACCGUGAGGCUUAACCUUACAACGCCGAAG